GGAUUGUUAGCUCAAGGGUUAGAGCGACCAGGGGAAAUGGCAACAAAGUCAUACCAGGCCGAGAGGCAUGUAGGACAGGAGCCCUAGCCUGCGGGUCGUAGGUUCGAGUCCUACACAGUCCA
Molecule: non-coding RNA, 122 nt
Organism: Exophiala viscosa
Lineage: Eukaryota; Fungi; Ascomycota; Eurotiomycetes; Chaetothyriales; Herpotrichiellaceae
Source: the annotation of a RefSeq genome assembly